The sequence is a transfer RNA, 93 nucleotides long. It matches the Rfam family "tRNA". Rfam says of the family: Transfer RNA (tRNA) molecules are approximately 80 nucleotides in length.
GGUGCUAUAGUGUAGUGGUUAUCACUCGGGAUUUUGAUAUGAGAAUCCCAGCAAUAUAUUCCCGGAACCCAGGUUCGAACCCUGGUAGCACCU